CUUUCAGCAAGGCAGAUAGCAGCCAGCGCAUUACUCACCAUUACCCCAUAGCUAUCUGUUUUCUGAGAAUGUGUUACAAGAAGUGGCAGCUGAAGCUCUGAAGCCUCUUCAGCACUGGCUGAAGCCACCUCCUGUGGUCUGUGAUGCUCUUGUCCUUGUCACCUGCCCUGGAGGCUGUGAGGCUUGGUGACUCUGCUCUGUUGGCACUCUAUUAGCCUCUUCUGGGGAUUAACGAGUGGGGAGACUACAAGCUGUGCUGCAGAUAAGUUCUCUAACUUGCCAAAACUGCAGUAAUGAGAGAACUUCUUUCCAGUUAGAAGAAAAGUUCCUCUCAGCCUGUUGCUUCCUUCUUCCUGACAGCUAGCUCUGAGGCACCACGAAGGGUAAAAAUGAAAGUUUCUGGAAGAUAAGCUUGGAGCUUUUUCUGCUGUUCUGCAGAAUGCACAGAACUCCUAGCAGAGCCAACAAGUACUUGAAGACUUUUCACUUCUCCUGUUUGUAUGAAGUGUGGCUUUUGGAGACGUGGAACUGGAAGAGUCUCAGAUAGAACCUCCUGCCUGGAGAACUCACGCAUCCUCGACAAAAAUGAACCAGGAGGAGAUGGCUUAUCCCCAGUCUGUGUAUCUUUUUUGGUCAGAGAUCUAUCAUCGCCACAUGCAAUAGGACAAACGUGCAACAGAAGACAAAUGGAAAACUCUUUACUUCCAAUAAGGAGCUGGCUCGUUAAAGGCAGUGAGAGGUUUGCAGCACCAGCCCUAGCAACAGCACUGAAAGUUAUCCCAAACAUGUAAAUGAAGCCGAGCUCCAGCGAUGGGAGGCCAAGCCACUAUGAACCCUCUGCAUCACGCUAUUAAUACAAAGAGGGGCCUCAAUUAAUUAAACUCUUAAAGGGUGACGCAAAAGCAUCAGAAGAAAUUUGCGGUGCACGUAAAGACAAAGUGUGUUCCACCAUACCUAAUUGCCAGAAUAAUUAUUUUCUGCUAUGCAAAUUAUCAUGAGCAAAUUCACUGCAGCUCAUUUGUGUGUAUUUAAUUAUCAUCAAGAGCUGGGGUUGAGGGACUAGAUUUAAUGUUUGUAAUGAAAUAGCAAGAAUUGGUGUGUGUGUUUGCAGAGAACUCGUUAUUUUACCACAGCUGGAUUUGUUUAUUUUAAAUAAAUCGUUAUGGCAGAUACA
Molecule: long non-coding RNA, 1174 nt
Filed under: Numida meleagris (helmeted guineafowl)
Lineage: Eukaryota; Metazoa; Chordata; Aves; Galliformes; Numididae
Description: lncRNA (ENSNMEG00000023094.1)
Source: RNAcentral